UUGUAAACCUGGGUGACAGAUGGUUCUGUUGCUCGUAACAGUGGAGAAAAGAAGCAAAGAGGUUUAACCUUGAUUUAGGAGGAACUACCUCUAAACAUAAACAGAAUAGUUCAGUCUCCAUGGCCAUUCAGUCCGUGGCCUCU
This 143-nucleotide small RNA is filed under the name Chelonoidis abingdonii (Abingdon island giant tortoise). Its description in RNAcentral is "TUC338 (ENSCABG00000006396.1)". Lineage: Eukaryota; Metazoa; Chordata; Testudines; Testudinidae. The record is from RNAcentral.